CACCCGUGGGAGCGAUCUGCUCCCAGAUGAUUUAGGAAUCAUCAUCGAUUUGAAUCUUUCUCUGUAUUUUUGCAUUGAAUUUCAGAUUCCCCAAAGGACUGUCAGAGGUUCCAAUCCAAGCCUAUUCUUUUCAAACAAAAGAAAACCAUCUUUGUAAUUAAUUGAGAACUGGAUAAAUGUUGAUUGGGAUCAUGGAAAGAAUUCACUUUCAACUCUGAUCAUGAAUUCUUUUAUUUUGCAGUGGAUGUUCUGUGGCCUCAGCCCCCUCUAAUUCCGAUCUUUCAAUAAAUAAUAGGUAUGUGACUAUCUGUGGCAAAUCAGCUCUGUAGCAACUGGACUCUGUCGUAUUCUCUGUGGUAUCCUCGGCACCAGGCCCAGUGUAAUCACGCAACAGGACCUCACCUUGACUAUAAGGUUAGAAAGAAGAGUUGGUGUGUACAAGCAAUUGAGAACAUUUAGCAGGCAGGUACUCAGAGCAGCUGGAUACAGGCUCCCACAGCCAGACACCUGCAUCACCAGGCUCACCGGGGCCUGCCACCCUCCUCACUGAGGACACCCAGGAUGAUGUUCUCCAGCCCUGUCUGCACCCUUAGCUGUCACCUGGCCCAGAACCACAGCCUGCCAAAGCAGGAGACCCUCACAGUCCUGCCCCUAACAGGGAGAAUCUUCUUUGUUUUCCUGCCUGAAGGACAAGGAGGUUUUCAGGUCCCAUCAGCACCAGCUGGCUGACAGCCAGUUCCCAAACGCUCAGGCCGCCUCAUUCUCCAUGAGACGAUACAGCACUUCUCCAUCGUCUUCAGCACAAAGAGCUGAAAUUCCUCAGUGGGCUUGAUCAACAGUGGGCAGAUCUGGAGACUAGUUUGGUGCAGGAGAUGGAGAGGAAAAGACCCUGCUGGGCAAUGAGGACUCCAGCCUGACUUUGAAGAACUUCCAAAGGACCAGGCUCGAUCUGAAAAGAAAGUCCACAGCUGCUGUGCCCAGGACAAUAUGAGAGUGGAAGUUAAGGCGUGAAAAUCAGAGUGUGCUUUCCCUGUAUGUUCAACCUCAGAGAACCCAGGAGUGGGAAAAGGAGACCUGGACCCAAUCUUCUACAAUGGAGUCUUCUCUGCUUAGAGGUGGCCUCUAGCGCGUCCAUAUUCACUCCCUUCAAUGACUUUUCUUCUGAUUCAGUUGUAAAUACAUCGAGUCAUCUCAGGACAUUGUUUUUCAACAGAAAAAGAAAACAAUUGCCCUAAGUCAUGCAUGAAGCCGAAGGAAGACUAAGGAGAUGCCGAGCUAACGAAUUUACUGGUCACCUGAGAAGACAAGAGUAACCCACAAGAGAAGAUGCAGCAAGACUGUCAUUUUCAAACACUUUUACUGACACAACUAUGUUCAGCUUAUUACACUUAUCGCUUUUAUUAACAACUCUGAGGACCAAUGAUGUCCCUAACAGUGUGCAGGUUACUGGGUGGGAAUAAGAAGUGUAGCUGGAGAGUGAGCUGAGUGCUAUGGUACCU
Molecule: long non-coding RNA, 1499 nt
Organism: Orcinus orca (killer whale)
Lineage: Eukaryota; Metazoa; Chordata; Mammalia; Artiodactyla; Delphinidae
Exons: 4
Source: RefSeq, a predicted model, not a curated record